Long non-coding RNA from Phyllostomus hastatus (greater spear-nosed bat), 875 nucleotides. RefSeq lists it as uncharacterized. The record is from RefSeq and is a predicted model, not a curated record. NCBI's taxonomy places the organism in Eukaryota, Metazoa, Chordata, Mammalia, Chiroptera, Phyllostomidae. The transcript has 2 exons.
CGGAGAGGGCCCGGCGGCUUCCGGAUUGCGGGCGCCCCGCCCCCGCCCCGCCCCGCCGGGCGACCGCCGCGGGCCACCCCUGCUCUCUACAGGCUGCGGGCCUCCGGUGUUUCAGGUGCCCUGACUGGGGAUCAAAUCCGCAACCUUGGCGCAUCAGACAAUGCUCCGACCAACUGAGCUACCCAGCCAGGGCUUUGAAUUGUAUGUUUUAAAAGGAUGAAUUCAGUGUGAAUUAUAUUUCUAUAAGGUAGGAGAGAUAAAAGAAGAUAUAAAUGUUUCUGCUCAUUUCUAGAAGAAAGCAGUACACAUGCACCAGAACCUAAGUUUAGGUACCUGUAGGGAAUGGGUGAGGAAGGCUGGAAAGACUGCGGAGAUGGGACGGAGUGGCAGUGAGGAAGAGCCAGCGACCUUUCUCUCAUGGCUCUGGUUUGUACAGCUCUGACUCUCAGAGUCAUGGCGAUGUUACAUAUACAUACAUGUAACCAGGGUGUGGAGGUUAACCCAAAACAGACUGCAAGCAGGGACAAACAAGCUGUACUGUGUUGUAAAUGAUUAACAUACCACUACCAAAUGGGUGGGGAAGAAAACAACUUAAGUAACUUUGGAAAACAGUAUUUUGACUAAAGGCCAAAGCCAGACACAAACAACUUGAUAUAACCAUUGCAUUCUAGUUGCAUUUGUUUCUUGUAGGGUUAUAAAUUAGCAACUGACAAACUGCUUUAUCUCUGUGACAGAAUUGAACAAGUAAGUAAAUAUAUUGUGGAUAAUGAGACUCAGUGUUUCUCCCUUUUGGAAAAAUAACUUAUAAAUAAGGAAAGAGGAAGUUUGGAUUGCACCCUGUGGCAUUGUGUUGGAAUUAAAAGUGUCUGUGUAAA